Long non-coding RNA from Pan paniscus (pygmy chimpanzee), 519 nucleotides. NCBI's taxonomy places the organism in Eukaryota, Metazoa, Chordata, Mammalia, Primates, Hominidae. The record is from Ensembl.
GUGCUGCCGAUGGCUGUUUGGGCACUGGGAUCACUGAAGUUCUGCGUCAGCACCAUGGACAGCAGUCCCGGCCCCAGGCCGCAGGACCUAGGGGGUCCACAUCACUAAAGGAGAAUCAGCUGCCACUGGCUCCCUGAUUUUGGCACGGCUCAGGGGUGCCUGAGCUCCUUCUGCCACUCCACUGCCGACUUCUAAAUGGCCUGGAGCAAGAAUUCCAAACUUCAAAACUAAGCAGUCUCUGAAGAAUGGAGAUGGCAGGCGUUCUGCUCCCUUACAGCAGCUGGUAGAAUCAAGACCCAUGUGUCCGUGGAGGAAAAGGGGAAGAGCCUCUGUCCUUUGCCCUGUGGGCUCCAUGGACAUCUCAUGUGCCUGGGAGGCUGCUCUCCUUGUCUUGUGGAUCCAGUUCUUGGCAGCCCCACUCUCAGGAGCACAGGAGUCCUGAGAGCCUCCUUCUGCCCAUCCAGAUGCCCACACACCUGACCACGAGUGCACUGCUUGUUCUGACAUAAAAAAUGUGAG